This 253-nucleotide ribosomal RNA is filed under the name uncultured bacterium. RNAcentral describes it as "partial 16S ribosomal RNA". It matches the Rfam family "Bacterial small subunit ribosomal RNA", at positions 524 to 776 of the family's 1533-position model. The record is from RNAcentral.
UACAGAGGUCUCAAGCGUUGUUCGGAUUCAUUGGGCGUAAAGGGUGCGUAGGCGGCGCGGUAAGUCGAGUGUGAAAUCUCGGGGCUUAACUCCGAAACUGCAUUCGAUACUGCCGUGCUUGAGGACUGGAGAGGAGACUGGAAUUUACGGUGUAGCGGUGAAAUGCGUAGAUAUCGUAAGGAAGACCAGUGGCGAAGGCGGGUCUCUGGACAGUUCCUGACGCUGAGGCACGAAGGCCAGGGGAGCAAACGGG